UACAGAGGUCUCAAGCGUUGUUCGGAUUCAUUGGGCGUAAAGGGUGUGUAGGUGGCGCCGUAAGUCAGGUGUGAAAUCUCGGAGCUUAACUCCGAAACUGCAUUUGAUACUGCGGUGCUUGAGGACUGGAGAGGAGACUGGAAUUCAUGGUGUAGCAGUGAAAUGCGUAGAGAUCAUGAGGAAGACCAGUGGCGAAGGCGGGUCUCUGGACAGUUCCUGACACUGAGACACGAAGGCCAGGGGAGCAAACGGG
This 253-nucleotide ribosomal RNA is filed under the name uncultured bacterium. Its description in RNAcentral is "partial 16S ribosomal RNA". It matches the Rfam family "Bacterial small subunit ribosomal RNA", at positions 524 to 776 of the family's 1533-position model. The record is from RNAcentral.